RNAcentral lists this ribosomal RNA (497 nucleotides) under uncultured bacterium. RNAcentral's name for it is "partial 16S ribosomal RNA". It matches the Rfam family "Bacterial small subunit ribosomal RNA", at positions 28 to 507 of the family's 1533-position model. The record is from RNAcentral.
GAUGAACGCUGGCGGCGUGCCUAAUACAUGCAAGUCGAGCGAACGGACGAGAAGCUUGCUUUUCUGAUGUUAGCGGCGGACGGGUGAGUAACACGUGGAUAACCUACCUAUAAGACUGGGAUAACUUCGGGAAACCGGAGCUAAUACCGGAUAAUAUUUUGAACCGCAUGGUUCAAAAGUGAAAGACGGUCUUGCUGUCACUUAUAGAUGGAUCCGCGCUGCAUUAGCUAGUUGGUAAGGUAACGGCUUACCAAGGCAACGAUGCAUAGCCGACCUGAGAGGGUGAUCGGCCACACUGGAACUGAGACACGGUCCAGACUCCUACGGGAGGCAGCAGUAGGGAAUCUUCCGCAAUGGGCGAAAGCCUGACGGAGCAACGCCGCGUGAGUGAUGAAGGUCUUCGGAUCGUAAAACUCUGUUAUUAGGGAAGAACAUAUGUGUAAGUAACUGUGCACAUCUUGUCGGUACCUAAUCAGAAAGCCACGGCUAACUACGUG